ACUCAAAUGAAUUGACGGGGACUUGCACAAGCGGUGGAUCAUGCGGCUUAAUUCGAUGGUAAACGAAGAACCUCACCAGGGUUUGAAACCCACACGUAAUCCUUAGGAAACUUUGGACCUCGCAAGACGGGUGGGCAGGUGAUGCAUGGUCGUCGUCAGUUCGUGGCUUGAGUUGUUCCCUUCAGUGGGGUAACGAACGCAACCCUCGUUGCCUGUUUUAUAUGUCAGGCGAGACUGCCCCCUCACGGGGGAGGAAGGUGAGGAUGACGCCAGAUCAGCAUGUCCCUUUGAUAUCCUGGGCUGCACGCAUGAUACAAUGGCACCGACAACGGGACGCGACGGGGUAACCCUGAGCAAAUCCUUAUAAACGGUGCCCCAAUUUGGAUUGAGGUCUGCAACUCGACCUCAUGAAACCGGAAUCGCUAGUAAUCGCGGGUCAGCUAUACCGCGGUGAAUACGUUCUCAAGUCUUGUACACACCGCCCGU
This 486-nucleotide ribosomal RNA is filed under the name uncultured bacterium. RNAcentral describes it as "partial 16S ribosomal RNA". It matches the Rfam family "Bacterial small subunit ribosomal RNA", at positions 899 to 1397 of the family's 1533-position model. The record is from RNAcentral.